Molecule: long non-coding RNA, 962 nt
Organism: Sebastes umbrosus (honeycomb rockfish)
Lineage: Eukaryota; Metazoa; Chordata; Actinopteri; Perciformes; Sebastidae
Exons: 7
Source: RefSeq, a predicted model, not a curated record
GGCCCAGCAGCGUCUCAGCAUGCUGUUAGCUUCCAUCACUAGCUGUGUUAGUGUUUAAUCAGACACACUGAACACACAGCAGCUCUGUGACCUUCCCUCGCUGCAGCACGUCUCUAACAUUCCAGAUGGUGGCGGUAAUGCACCUCUAAGAUGGUUUGCCAACUGCCAAUAAACACCAAAGAAGAAGCAGAAGAAGCUGGGGCAGGGGCUGGAUGGCCAAAACGGUUCCAUAACCUCCACUACAGCAGUGCGAGGCCCAGUCAUCACCAGUCUGGAGACUGUCCUGUAGUCCAGGUAGAGGACACACUGUCCAUUCACCUGGCACACAAACUGACGCACCUAAAGAAGAUGAUAAGAGCAGCGGUUGCAGGGCUUCCAGGGUCAACGGCCUGCACGUAACAGGGGGCCAUGCCUCUGACAACAAAGCCCCAGCCCAGGUCAUCUCCUAUCACCUGUGAUGGCAGGAAGGAUUGGUUCUCACUGAAGUUGAAGACAGCUGGACGAGAGGUGGAAACCCAGCAGAGUGAAGCUGAAGGGAGUUCAAGCUGCUUCGACACCCACUGAAAACGCUGAAGGAACAGCUGGAUAUACAUUAUAGGGAGGCUCAUCAGAAGCAGCUCAGCCGACUCGGUGACAAGAUCGAUGCUGGAUGAACUCAGAAUGAGCAGAGAUUCUUGAUCAUAACUGAAGAUGACAGAGUUUGUUCACCUUCUUCUACUACCUAUUACAGCAAAAAAGUCUGAUCUUUUGUACAGAAGAUUUAACUUUUACGUUCAUCCUAGUGUUGAAAAUGUCCCAACAGACAGUCACCUGAUAUUAAAGUCUAUAAACAUAUUUUUCAACUAAACCGCAUAAAAUCUGAAAUGUGUUUUCUUUGAGUGAACAGUUUUCUUUAAUUUCUUGCUGUACCUCUCCUCUUGUGAUCCAGUGUUGAUGUAAUAAAAGUUUACUAUAAAAAUCAA